This 325-nucleotide ribosomal RNA is filed under the name Nectophrynoides cf. tornieri HCL-2014. RNAcentral describes it as "partial 12S ribosomal RNA". It matches the Rfam family "Bacterial small subunit ribosomal RNA", at positions 879 to 1373 of the family's 1533-position model. The record is from RNAcentral. Lineage: Eukaryota; Metazoa; Chordata; Amphibia; Anura; Bufonidae.
ACUACGAGCCAAGCUUAAAACCCAAAGGACUUGACGGUACCCCACAUCCACCUAGAGGAGCCUGUCCUAUAAUCGAUAAUCCACGUUUAACCUCACCAUUUUUAGUUAAUCAGCCUGUAUACCUCCGUCGUCAGCUUACCACGUGAGCGUCAGUUAGUGAGCCCAAUGUAUUUUACCUAAACGUCAGGUCAAGGUGCAGUAAAUGAAAUGGAAAGAGAUGGGCUACACUUUCUACUUUAGAAAAAACGAAAAACUACCUAUGAAAUCUAGUUAGAAGGCGGAUUUAGCAGUAAAAAGGAAUCAGCAUGUCCAUUUUAACCCGGCA